GUAUAUGAGGUGAUUAAUUGGAGGGCAAAUCGAGUGCCAGCAGCCGCGGUAAUACUUGUUCCAAGAGUGUGUAUGAUGAUUGAUGCAGUUAAAAAGUCCGUAGUUUAUUAUUAAGAAGCAAUAUGAGGUGUACUGUAUAGUUGGGAGAGAGAUGAAUUGUGACGACCCUGACUGGACGAACUGAAGCGAAAGCUGUACACUUGUAUGUAUUUUUUGAACAAGGACGUAAGCUGGAGGAUCGAAGAUGAUUAGAUACCAUUGUAGUUCCAGCAGUAAACUAUGCCGACGAUGUGAUAUGAGAUGCUGUAUUACAUUAUAGAAAUUAGAGUUUUUUGGCUCUGGGGAUAGUAUGAUCGCAAGAUUGAAAAUUAAAGAAAUUGACGGAAGAAUACCACAAGGAGUGGAUUGUGCGGCUUAAUUUGACUCAACGCGAGGUAACUUACCAAUAUUUUAUUGUUCGGCGAGGAUAUGAUCUGAGG
RNAcentral lists this ribosomal RNA (479 nucleotides) under Vairimorpha ceranae. Its description in RNAcentral is "SSU rRNA". It matches the Rfam family "Microsporidia small subunit ribosomal RNA", at positions 357 to 888 of the family's 1311-position model. Lineage: Eukaryota; Fungi; Microsporidia; Nosematidae. The record is from RNAcentral.